CGCUUGGCCUAUCCCUGUGUUUUUGAUUCAGUAUUUCUUGGGAGAGAGCUAGAUAUCUUCAUUUUACAGUGUUCACUAAGCAUUCAGAGGGAGGCAAUCAAUGGAUGAGUUUGUGAAAUAUUUUGUAGAUUCAACUGCAGUGUUUUCUCUUCUAUGUAGACAUUAGGCUGGGUUCUGGAAAAACCAUGGGACAUCUUCUUUCUUUUUUUAUAAGCAGGACUCUGCCUUCCUGACCUGAAUAUUAUCUCCGUGUUGGAGCAAGGGAAAGAGCCCUGGACUGUGGUGAGCCAAGUGAAAAUAGCAAGGAACCCAAACUGUGGGGAAUGCAUGAAAGGCAUGAUCACAGGUAUCUCUCCUAAAUGUGUGAUCAAGGAAUUACCACCAAUACAGAACAGUAACACAGGAGAAAAAUUCCAAACAGUGAUGUUGGAAGGACAUGAAAGCUAUGACACUGAAAA
RNAcentral lists this small RNA (458 nucleotides) under Pan troglodytes (chimpanzee). Its description in RNAcentral is "retained intron". The record is from RNAcentral. Lineage: Eukaryota; Metazoa; Chordata; Mammalia; Primates; Hominidae.